GACGAAUGCUGGCGGCGUGCUUAACACAUGCAAGUCGAGCGAUUCUCUUCGGAGAAGAGCGGCGGACGGGUGAGUAACGCGUGGGUAACCUGCCCUGUACACACGGAUAACAUACCGAAAGGUAUGCUAAUACGGGAUAAUAUGCUUUAGUCGCAUGGCUAAAGUAUCAAAGCUCCGGCGGUACAGGAUGGACCCGCGUCUGAUUAGCUAGUUGGUAAGGUAACGGCUUACCAAGGCGACGAUCAGUAGCCGACCUGAUAGGGUGAUCGGCCACAUUGGAACUGAGACACGGUCCAAACUCCGACGGGAGGCAGCAGUGGGGAAUAUUGCACAAUGGGCGAAAGCCUGAUGCAGCAACGCCGCGUGAGCGAUGAAGGCCUUCGGGUCGUAAAGCUCUGACCUCAAGGAAGAUAAUGACGGUACUUGAGGAGGAAGCCCCGGCUAACUACGUGCCAGCCGCCGCAGUAA
This 468-nucleotide ribosomal RNA is filed under the name uncultured bacterium. RNAcentral's name for it is "partial 16S ribosomal RNA". It matches the Rfam family "Bacterial small subunit ribosomal RNA", at positions 28 to 523 of the family's 1533-position model. The record is from RNAcentral.